GGUAGCAUUGCUGGGUGAUACGACGGAAUCAUAAUCCGCAGGUCCGGGGUUCGAGUCCCUGAUUCGCCACCA
This 72-nucleotide transfer RNA is filed under the name Paraburkholderia atlantica. RNAcentral describes it as "Paraburkholderia sp. CNPSo 3155 tRNA-Met". The record is from RNAcentral. Lineage: Bacteria; Pseudomonadati; Pseudomonadota; Betaproteobacteria; Burkholderiales; Burkholderiaceae.